Molecule: transfer RNA, 77 nt
Filed under: Salmonella enterica
Lineage: Bacteria; Pseudomonadati; Pseudomonadota; Gammaproteobacteria; Enterobacterales; Enterobacteriaceae
Also listed under: 2 other names
Description: tRNA-Arg
Rfam family: tRNA
About the family: Transfer RNA (tRNA) molecules are approximately 80 nucleotides in length.
Source: RNAcentral
GCGCCCGUAGCUCAGCUGGAUAGAGCGCUGCCCUCCGGAGGCAGAGGUCUCAGGUUCAAAUCCUGUCGGGCGUACCA